RNAcentral lists this ribosomal RNA (253 nucleotides) under uncultured bacterium. RNAcentral's name for it is "partial 16S ribosomal RNA". It matches the Rfam family "Bacterial small subunit ribosomal RNA", at positions 524 to 776 of the family's 1533-position model. The record is from RNAcentral.
UACAGAGGUCUCAAGCGUUGUUCGGAUUCAUUGGGCGUAAAGGGUGCGUAGGCGGCGCGGUAAGUCGGAUGUGAAAUCUCGGGGCUUAACUCCGAAACUGCAUUCGAUACUGCCGUGCUUGAGGACUGGAGAGGAGACUGGAAUUUACGGUGUAGCGGUGGAAUGCGUAGAUAUCGUAAGGAAGACCAGUGGCGAAGGCGGGUCUCUGGACAGUUCCUGACGCUGAGGCACGAAGGCCAGGGGAGCAAACGGG